Molecule: ribosomal RNA, 253 nt
Filed under: uncultured bacterium
Lineage: Bacteria
Description: partial 16S ribosomal RNA
Rfam family: Bacterial small subunit ribosomal RNA
Source: RNAcentral
UACGUAGGGUGCAAGCGUUAAUCGGAAUUACUGGGCGUAAAGCGUGCGCAGGCGGUUUUGUAAGACCGAAGUGAAAUCCCCGGGCUUAACCUGGGAACUGCAUUGGUGACUGCAAGGCUUGAGUGUGUCAGAGGGAGGCGGAAUUCCGCGUGUAGCAGUGAAAUGCGUAGAUAUGCGGAGGAACACCGAUGGCGAAGGCAGCCUCCUGGGAUAACACUGACGCUCAUGCACGAAAGCGUGGGGAGCAAACAGG